UGGUGGAGUGAUUUGUCUGGUUAAUUCCGUUAACGAACGAGACCCCUGCCUGCUAAAUAAUCAAAUGAGUGAUUUUUCACUGAUUGUGGCUUCUUAGAGGGACGUGCAUUUUAUUAGAUGCAGGAGGAUAGGGGCAAUAACA
This 142-nucleotide ribosomal RNA is filed under the name uncultured eukaryote. RNAcentral's name for it is "partial 18S ribosomal RNA". It matches the Rfam family "Eukaryotic small subunit ribosomal RNA", at positions 1299 to 1458 of the family's 1831-position model. The record is from RNAcentral.